ACAUGAGAGAUUAACAUCAGCAUCUGUAUCAGUAAGUAAAAACUUAAGAACAUCAACACUUCCAUAUGUAGCAGCAACCAUUAAUGGAGUCCUGUGGUCAAGAACAAUAUUCUUUGACCCCUUUUGGCGGCCAUACCAGUACGCAACCUCAUCAACUGAGGAAGCAUCCUGUUCUAUCAAUCGCUUAAAGCCUUCAAUAUCAUUGUUAGCUGCGAGGUCAAGUAAACUGGAAAAAGUAUCUCCGGUUUCAACAGUUAGAUGAUUCAUAUCUUUGGUGUUACGUGUGGUAUCUCCAGCAGAUGGAGAUGGAGCAGAUGAUUUUGAUGAUCUAUCUGGACCACCGCACAUGCUUCAAUCAACGAUAAUAACAAUUUGAAGCCAAGAUCAGCUUAAUAACUUGAAAAUCAACAGAUCCAGACAACAAGCUUCAACUCAUACUUGAUCUAGAGCAAAAAGAUCAAAAGCAGAUUCAGGCAACAGAGUAAGAGAUAAAAAUUUUGGAUUUAGAAAGCUUCUUGCAGCUUCAGUCUCCAUCGAUGACACCAAGAAGAAAGGAAGAAAUAUGUUGCAGCUAGAGAGGAAAGGAAAGGAAAGGAAGGAAAGGAAAGGAAAGGAAAACUUUCUUUCCUGUGGAGGGAGAGAGCUGAGUAACGUUUCCAAACUGAAAUGGAAAUGAAAC
Molecule: unclassified non-coding RNA, 679 nt
Filed under: Hevea brasiliensis (rubber tree)
Lineage: Eukaryota; Viridiplantae; Streptophyta; Magnoliopsida; Malpighiales; Euphorbiaceae
Source: RNAcentral